RNAcentral lists this transfer RNA (71 nucleotides) under Marmota monax (woodchuck). Its description in RNAcentral is "tRNA.Val". Lineage: Eukaryota; Metazoa; Chordata; Mammalia; Rodentia; Sciuridae. The record is from RNAcentral.
GUUGGGGUAUUUUAGUGGUUGAUCGCUUGCCUCACAUGCUGGAGGCUCUGGGUUCCAUCCCCAGCACCACA